GACAGAGGUGGCAAGCGUUGUUCGGAUUUACUGGGCGUAAAGAGUUCGUAGGCUGUCGUAUGUGUCAGAUGUGAAAUCCCAGGGCUUAACCCUGGAAUUGCAUUUGAAACUGUACGACUUGAGGACAGGAGGGGGAAGUGGAAUUCCCGGUGUAGCGGUGAAAUGCGUAGAUAUCGGGAAGAACACCGGUGGCGAAGGCGGCUUCCUGGACUGUCCCUGACGCUGAGGAACGAAAGCGUGGGUAGCAAAC
Molecule: ribosomal RNA, 250 nt
Filed under: uncultured bacterium
Lineage: Bacteria
Description: partial 16S ribosomal RNA
Rfam family: Bacterial small subunit ribosomal RNA
Source: RNAcentral